RNAcentral lists this ribosomal RNA (400 nucleotides) under phytoplankton environmental sample. Its description in RNAcentral is "partial small subunit ribosomal RNA". It matches the Rfam family "Eukaryotic small subunit ribosomal RNA", at positions 587 to 978 of the family's 1831-position model. The record is from RNAcentral.
AGCUCCAGUAGCGUAUACUAAUGUUGUUGCAGUUAAAAAGCUCGUAGUUGGAUUUCUGGCGAAGUUGGCCUAUAGUCCCUAGUUCGGCUCCGGCCGACUUGCGUGACUUUUGCUAACUUUCCAUCCUUUUAGAACCGAUCUGUCCUUCAUUGGAACGGAGAAAGUUCUAAAUCAUUUACUUUGAAAAAAUUAGAGUGUUUAAAGCAGGCUUCAGCGAUGUAUAUAUUAGCAUGGAAUAAUAACUUAGGACUUCGGUUCUAUUUUGUUGGUUUCUAGAACUGAAGUAAUGAUUGAUAGGGAUAGUUGGGGGUGCUAGUAUUCAGCGGCCAGAGGUGAAAUUCUUGGAUUCGCUGAAGACUAACUUAUGCGAAAGCAUUCACCAAGGAUGUCUUCUUUAAUC